UGCAGCACCUUCUUCCUCCAUCCCAGCCGCUGCCACACGCCAUGGCGAACAAAAGCACGAGUAAAAGAGGGAGGAAAGUCAGGCAAAAAAAUUGGAUAACGCAUCCAAUCUUGUCUGCAACUCUUCCUUGCGGAUCAGGCAAUAAACUGGGAAAAUGACGGCAAGAAUUUGCUAGAGACUGGGCAAAUUUUUCUCCGGAAAACCGAGAUGUGCAGAUGGUUGGUCUUGAUCUCAAUAAGCUUCCUGAUGAUUGCUAAUUGUGACGGUGGCUCGCUAUACUGCCCAAGCCCCACCCGAAGGGGUCCUAUUUCUACCGGGGGAGUGGCCGACUCGCCGGAUUUGCUUUUUGCUCCGGUCCAAGAUGUGCUAGGUGUGAAGUUUUGUUUUGUGGUUGCUGCUACUACUGGUGCAUCUUAUGCGACAGAAAUUGGCACUAUCACACCCGCCCCUGCCAUGUUUAGUCCGGGUGCAAUUCUGCCUAGCCAUGGUGAGCAUGGAGUUUGACACGCUUGCAGGAGCUUAGACACACUACAAUGCCUACGCUCUCACACGUGGGUUUUCGAUGAAAGAGAACACCUCUAGGAGGUCUAUGA
Long non-coding RNA from Hordeum vulgare subsp. vulgare (domesticated barley), 593 nucleotides. RefSeq lists it as uncharacterized. The record is from RefSeq and is a predicted model, not a curated record. The transcript is spliced from 2 exons. NCBI's taxonomy places the organism in Eukaryota, Viridiplantae, Streptophyta, Magnoliopsida, Poales, Poaceae.